UACAGAGGUCCCGAGCGUUGUUCGGAUUCACUGGGCGUAAAGGGUGCGUAGGUGGUGAGGUAAGUCGGAUGUGAAAGCUCGGAGCUCAACUCCGAAAUGGCAUUGGAAACUACCUUGCUCGAGGGUUGGAGGGGGGACUGGAAUGCUUGGUGUAGCAGUGAAAUGCGUAGAUAUCAAGCGGAACACCAGUGGCGAAGGCAGCUCGCUGGAACGGUACUGACGCUGAGGCGCGAAAGCGUGGGGAGCGAACAGG
RNAcentral lists this ribosomal RNA (253 nucleotides) under uncultured bacterium. Its description in RNAcentral is "partial 16S ribosomal RNA". It matches the Rfam family "Bacterial small subunit ribosomal RNA", at positions 524 to 776 of the family's 1533-position model. The record is from RNAcentral.